GCAUUAUUCAAAAGAAAACCAGGAGGCAGCGACAAUUCUUGAUUCUUGCAGAUAAACAUUCUCCAACAACUAUUAAGAGUUGGAUUGCUCUACCUUCAUUUAAUUCCUUGGUGCUUUACUAUUUGAAUCUAGAAUAUUCUUGAAGUCUGAAAGAUGGAUAGAAAAGAGGUAAGUCAUGUAAACUUAUAAACAGGGCACGAACCCCGCUAACAGACAGCUUUGAAGAGAUGAUGAUUUUAGAUCUUGUGAAUUGUUAUGUCAGAGGAAUACAUGCAGAAGAAAACAGGCACCGAAAUAGUUAUUACCAGAGCAAAGUAAAUCUGAACACCUAAAAGAAUAAGAAAGUAUCUUAUGCUUCUCUCUACUCUGAACUGCCUUGAAAAGAGCAAGAAUUUCAUACAUGAGCCUGUAGCACAUUACAAAAUCUGAGUAUGUAUUUGAAAUUCAAAUGCACACAAAGUUCAUGCAUUUUAUUUUCCAGUUGUUCUCAAGACUCCUAAAUAAAGCAUUUCCCCUGUGUGGGCGACCCCUGGGUCCCAUGUGGGGUCAGUGUUUGGGUCUCUCUGAGAGGAUCAGGAAGGCUGCUCUUCCAGGAAGGGCUGCAGGGACCCUGGGAACCGGACCAGUCCAGCUCACAAGUAUGAAGAGAAUGUCGGGAGAGGAAGUGGUGGCUAUGAGUCAGCAUGAGUCAUCUCGUUCCAAUGAGAAUGAAGGCUGAGACAAGCGGUGCCUGAGCCCGUGCCUGUCUUCAGAUCUUCACAGCACAGUUCCUGGGAAGGUGGAGCCACCAGCCUCUCCCUGAAUAACUGGGAGAUGAAACAGGAAGCUCUAUGACACACUUGAUCGAAUAUGACAGACACUGAAAAUCACGACUCAUCCCCCUCCAGCACCUCUACCUGUUGCCCGCCGAUCACAGCCGGAAUGCAGCUGAAAGAUUCCCUGGGGCCUGGUUCCAACUGCCCACUGUGGACUCUGAGGCCUCUGCAUUUGCGGGUGGUCUGCCUGUGAUAUUUUGGUCAUGGGCUGGUCUGGUCGGUUUCCCAUUUGUCUGGCCAGUCUCUGUGUGUCUUAAUCCCUUGUCCUUCAUUAAAAGCAAAACUAAAGAAAACAGAA
RNAcentral lists this long non-coding RNA (1113 nucleotides) under Homo sapiens (human). Its description in RNAcentral is "HSALNT0037779". Lineage: Eukaryota; Metazoa; Chordata; Mammalia; Primates; Hominidae. The record is from RNAcentral.